UUUUUUUUUUUUUUGUAUUUGACAAAAUUGACUCCUAUGGUUUAAUUAGUAACAUAUUUAUCAAAGGCACAAAACACAUUAUGCACAAAAAGGGUCUGGAGUCUAGGUGCAUGAUGGAGAUCAAGUAGCAACCAAUGAAGCAAUCUAAGGACCCAUCACAAGAUCAAUGGCAAAGAAGAUACAAGGAUUGGUGCAAAAACACGUUGGUCGAACCUGCAUAGAUCAAUUGAAGCAAGGAUGAUAAUAUUGAUGCAAGUUUGCUUGGAUGGAAAACAUGUGCCGAGAGUUGCAUAAGAUAUGACAUAGGGCGUGUCCCCGGAUAGUAUCACAUUUUCAAGCUGGCUGAAAAUUUCGGACGACUUGACAUUGGGCAUAUUGAGUUCACUGAAUCUAACACUGGAUAGGGACAUGAGGCACGUCACUUCUCAGGAAAAUCUCGACCCCAAAAAAAUAAACUUCACAGCUUUGGUGCUUCAAAUGUCAGCCAUGUGCCAAAGCUCCCAUGCAUGUGUUUCCCAUCAAAUAUUAGAUGGUGCAAGCAUGUAAUGUUCAUAUUAGAAAAGAAUGCAUUUGUUUUCUUAGUUUACUUUUUAUGCUUUCCGUUUUUGUUAAAAUGUCACUUUCAACUUUUGUAAAGUGUGUAAAAGAGGUUGUUUUGAUUGGUUGCUUACCUCUUUUAGCAGAAAACUUCUAAGACAUAAAAAUAGAUGUUCGGAUAUUAUUUUGAGUGGAGGCCCUCCCAAAGAUGAUGAUGAGUGACAUGGACUAUGCGGUAGAUGGCACUGCCUUGGUUGUGAUGCGUGCUUUGAAUGCACAAAUAAAAGAAAAUAGUAGGGAUGAAUUGCAAAGGGACAACAUUUUCCACACUAGAUGCUUGAUACAAGAGCAUGAUCAUUGGUAGUGGGAGUUGUGCUUAUGUAGCUAGCACUUUGUUGGUGGAGAAGUUGGGACUGCCCACUACAAAACACCCUAGACCUUAUAAGUUGCAAGGGCUAAAUGAGUGUAGUGAAGUGAAGGUGAACAAACAAGUGAUGGUUGCAUUUUCUAUUGGGAAGUACAGGGAUGAGGUGCUUUGUGAUGUAGUACCCAUGCAUACUGAACACAUUCUACUCGGUAGGCCUUGGCAAUUUGAUAAAAAGAUGACACAUGAUAGGUAUAGAAACCGGUACUUUUUUGACAAGGAUGGCCGAAAAGUCACCUUGGCACCCUUGACUCCUAUGCAUGCUUAUGAAGACCAAAUGAGAAUUAAGAGGUCCAUAGAAGAGAAAAUUCAAAGAGAGGCCAAACAAAGAGAGAAUGAAAAGAAAUAGAAGUGUGAGUAAGAAAAAGAAAGCAAAGAAAAGAAAAUAAGGAGAGUUGAAAAAAGAGAGUGUUCAGGGCAAAAGGAUGGAAUGAGAAAAAGAAUGAGAGAAAAGUGAGAUUAUAUACAAAGCCAAAAAAGAGAGAGAGAGAGAGAUGUGAGGAGUGCAUUUUAUGCAAGUAAACCUAUCCUUGUAUUUGUGUGCAAGGAUGCCUACUUGAAUGUUUCUUACAUUGGCCCUUCUUUGCCUAGUUCUGCUGUUGCUCUUUUGCAAGAAUAUGAAGAUAUAUUUCGAGAAAAGGUGCCUAGUGGAUUGCCACCCAUUAGAGGCAUUGAGCAUCAAAUCAAUUUCAUUCCUGGUGCAGUCAUACUAAACCGGCCAACAAAUAAGACCAAUCCUGAAAAGGCCAAGAAACUUCAAAGGCAAGUGGAGAAGAUCCUAACAAAAAGACAUGUGAGGGAAAGCACGACUCCUUGUGCCGCACCUGUAUUGCUUGUGUCAAAGAAUGAUGGUACUUAUAGAAUGUGAGUGGAUUGCAGAGCUAUCAACAAAAUCACUGUAAAGCAUAGACAUCUUAUCUCUAGACUUGAUGACAUGCUUAAUGAGUUGCAUGGUACAUGCAUAUUUUCUAAAAUUGAUCUGAAAAGUGAUUACCAUCAAAUUAGAAUGAAAAUUGGUGAUGAAUGCAAAAACUACUUUUAAGACCAAAUAUAGAUUGUAUGAAUAUUUAGUUAUGUCAUUUUGGCUAACUAAUGCACCUAGCACUUUCAUAAGAUUUAUGAAUCAUGUCUUGUAUGCAUUUCUUGGAAAUUUUGUUGUGCAUUUUGCUGACAUAUUAGUGCAUAGCAAAAACAUGAAUGAGCAUUUGUAUCAUUUAAAAUUUAUUUUUGAUAUACUUAAGAAAGAGCAAUUGUAUGCUAAUUUGCAAAAGUAUACAUUUUGGAUGGAAAAAG
RNAcentral lists this unclassified non-coding RNA (2254 nucleotides) under Hevea brasiliensis (rubber tree). Lineage: Eukaryota; Viridiplantae; Streptophyta; Magnoliopsida; Malpighiales; Euphorbiaceae. The record is from RNAcentral.